This 76-nucleotide transfer RNA is filed under the name Pseudoxanthomonas composti. RNAcentral describes it as "Pseudoxanthomonas sp. GSS15 tRNA-Gly". It matches the Rfam family "tRNA". From Rfam's summary of the family: Transfer RNA (tRNA) molecules are approximately 80 nucleotides in length. The record is from RNAcentral. Lineage: Bacteria; Pseudomonadati; Pseudomonadota; Gammaproteobacteria; Lysobacterales; Lysobacteraceae.
GCGGGAUUAGCUCAGUUGGUAGAGCGCGACCUUGCCAAGGUCGAAGUCGAGAGUUCGAGUCUCUUAUCCCGCUCCA